CGAGUUUGAUCCUAGCUCAGAAUUAACGCUAGAAAUAUACAUUACACAUGCAAAUUAAUGAUAAUAUCAUAGUGUAUAGGUGAGGAUAUAUAAAUUUUUAAUUUUAAAUAGAUUAUAAAUUUUAUUAAAUAAUAAUCUAUAAGCGCAAAAAUAUAUGUACUAUAUUAAAAAUUAAUAUUAUUUAAAAUAAAAUUUAUAUUUGAUUAACUAGUUGGUAAUUUAAAAGACUACCAAGGUUAUUAUCAAAAAUUGGUUUGAAAGAAUGUACAAUCACAUUAGGAUUGAAAUAAAGCCUAAAUUUUUAUAAAAAAUCAGCAGUGAGGAAUAUUUUACAAUAAGUGUAAGCUUGAUAAAGUAAUAUUUCUUUUAGGAAGACAGUAUUAUUAAAAUAUUGUAAACUUUUUAUUUUAUUUUUAAAUAUUGAUAAAAAUAAAAAAUAGUAUUUGCUAAUUUCUGUGCCAGCAGCAGCGGUAAUACAGAAAAUGCAAGCGUUAUUCAUUUUAUUAGGCGUAAAGCGUUUUAAGGUUUUAUAUUAAUUUUAUGUUUAAAUAUUUAAAUUAAAUUUAAAAUAAAUUAAUAAAUAAUAAUAUAAUAGAGUAUUAUAAAAGUAUUAAGAAUUUUUUGAGAAGUAGUGAAAUACAAUGAUACAAAAAAGAAUAUCAAAGGCGAAAGCAUAAUACUAUAUAAUUACUGACACUUAAAAACGAAAGCUAAGGUAGCAAAUAGGAUUAGAUACCCUAGUAGUCUUAGCUGUAAACUAUGAAUAUUUUAUAUUUAUAUUUUAUAAAUAUAAUAACUAACGUGAUAAAUAUUCCGCCUGAGUAGUAUAUUCGCAAGAAUGAAAUUCAAAGGAAUUGACGGGAGCUUAUACAAGUGGUGGAACAUGUGGCUUAAUUCGAUGCAACACGAUAAACCUUACCAAAAUUUAACAAUAUUUUUAAUAUUAAGAAAUUAAUAUUUUAAUAAAAUAUAUAGGUAGUGCAUGGCUGUCGUCAGUUCGUGCUGUGAAGUGUUAAUUUUAGUAUUAUAACGAACGUAACCUUUUAUAAAAAAAAUUUUUAUAAUAAAUAAUAAUAAAGAUUACGUCAAGUCAUUAUGCUCCUUAUAUUUUGGGCUGCUCACGUGUUACAUAAAAUAUUACAAUAUUUUAUUAUAUGUUAAAUAUAAUAAUUAAAAUAUAUUUAUAGUUCAGAUUAUAAAUUGAAACUCAUUUAUAUAAAGAUGGAAUCACUAGUAAUCGCUAAUCAGAAUUAUAGCGGUGAAUAAGUUCUUAAGCUUUGUACACACCGCCCGUCACAUC
Molecule: ribosomal RNA, 1300 nt
Filed under: Plasmodium falciparum 365.1
Lineage: Eukaryota; Apicomplexa; Aconoidasida; Haemosporida; Plasmodiidae
Description: bacterial SSU rRNA
Rfam family: Bacterial small subunit ribosomal RNA
Source: RNAcentral